ACAGGGAAUUGCACCACGCCGUGGCAGUGGAAUGAGGAUGCUGUUGUCACUUCAGAUGAACUAUGGCAUGCAAACACCAUGGAGAGUCUCCCUCAUGACAUUGUGAUGCUCCCAUUGCUGAGUAUGGAUAAGGCCAAUGUUGCGCACCUUUCAUUGAUUGACUGGGAUGGUGGAUUCUCAUUAGUUUCCAUCGACUUGAGUAACAUGCAAGUCAUGGGCCCAGUCAUUACAUACCUCAAAGGGAAGGAUGAUACUGCUGAUGCUGACAUCGUCGAGGAAAAGAAAGGAUUAGGUGCACACUUUAUUCCAUCCGAAUUCCCCAAGUUCCUGGAUCUCAGGUAACUUCAGCGUUGCCUCCCACUUUUACUUGAGCACAAUUUUUUUUCAUGCAGCCUUUUGCUCUCUUUUUUUCAGCAGUUAAGGUUUCUGCCAUGUUAUUCUUGAAACCUUUGAGGAAUCAACAGAAUGUGCUGGUUGCUGGGAGUAAUAUGGAUCAAUGUUUUCAAGUCUUUAUGUUGAGUCUAGUCGCUGGGGUACCAACUAGAUGGCUAAUCGUGACUAGGCAACGAUUAAAUGGCGAUUAGCUAUGAGACCAGUCGAUCCACCCUUGCCUAUAGUAGAGAAUGAUAGAGUAUAACACAAAGGUGACGAACUGAUCUCUUGGUUUGAGCCCAACACAUAAUUGUUCUUUGUGGGUUCUUCAAUCUGAAAGUGCAUAAUAGCGUGCCAGCGUUGUGCUUUGUUUCCUUCACUAUUUUGAUUCUACAUGUCAAAUUAUUGAAAGGUUUUGUUCAGUUACCAACAACAUGGAUCCUUAGAAGUAGGUGGCACCUAGCGAAUCAGCAUCAUAUCGAAGAACCCCUAGAUCUUCUAAACAAACCGGCUGGAAUUGUGGAAAUCAAUUAAACUUAAUUAUAUCCAUAGUGCCUUCCUUGUAUAUCAUGUUUCAUUCUGCCAGUAGUAACCUCAGCAACUUGACGGUCUUGGGAAAUUAGGCAAUGGUAGUCUGCCUGAGGUUAAUAUAGGCCCUUUUUGUAUCCGCUUAUUUCCUGCUUAUCAAUGGAAAUAAGCGAUAAGCCCACCCAAACGCCUAGCUUAUUUCCCACUUACCUCCCAAGCCGCUUAGCCCACAAUCUGGAAAACAACUAGCGCCCCGCUUAUUCUCUAUGCGGUCUUGGGGCCGCUUCUUGGGCAAGCGAAGCGCUUUUUCCUGAUACCCUCACCCGUCCGCUGCCUGCCGCCCUCCGACCGUCGCCGGCUCCGUCCGCCGCCCGCCUGCCUCCACCGCUUCCCUGCACAAAUCCCAUGCAGAUCCCGUUGCCAUCAGUCACCAGCACUCCUGCCCAGAUCCCGUCGCCGCCGGUUCCGUUCGCUGCCCGCCGCCGGCCGACCCUACGCUUGGCCCCCUGUGCUUGGCCUCCGGCCGGCCCUGCUGUUCUUUUUUGUGAAGGAGGUGGCGGAGUGCUGGCCGUCUACUGCUGAGUGUUGGUCGUGAGCAGCAUUUGAGCUCGCCGUGCGUGCUGCCGUUGUUGUUGAGAAGGAGCUAGAUAUGGGUGCAUUGCGUCAUGUUAUUGCUGUCGCUAUGGUUCGUGAUUCGUUGUUGUACUCAUGAUGGAUGUUUCCAUACUAGACCGUUCUAUCAUAUGAAUUUCAUAUUAUUGUAAUGAAAUUUCUAUUUAACAAACUCCAAAAAUAUUGGAAUUAUUAUCUUCUCCUCAGAUUCACAAUAAAAAUGAGCUAUUAUCAGCCUCAGGGGCAUUCAGGUCAAUUUACCAGCCAGGACAGACAAUCGACACAAAAUAAUCAGGAUUGCCAAACACCCAGCUUAUACAGACAGCGGAUUCUCCAGACAGCAGGCAGGCUUUUAAGAUAAGCCUGCUUGCCAGAUAAGCGAGUUCAGAAAAGCGUAUACAAACAGGACCAUAAAUGUUGCACAGCUUAUUCUGUUGCCUAACUGUUGCUUGUCACGUUGAUCCCAAAAUCGACCAUAAGCUAAGUUAUUUUUUCUUAAUGACGUCCGAGGCACCUGAGAAUCUUUUAUAAUUCUUGGUAACCAUGGAUACUAUCAAAAUAACUUCAGCAAUGGGUGAAUCUAAGACUAUGGGAAGCCUAAAUUUCGAUUUGUACAGAUUAUCUCUGCUGAAAAAAAUUAUUGAAAUCAUCAGCAUGUGUUGUAGCUGACAAUUAUUGUUUCCUAUUUGUAUUGAUGAAGUUCUUGCUACUGUAUUGCAGGAAGAGAGAGAAUCAUCCAUAAGUCCUGUCACCAUAUCGGCUGGCCACCGUCGUCAUGUGUGUUGCUUCUUCAUUUUCCAGUUCUGUUGUGCUGGAUUCUACUGCCGACUUUGUUGAUUGGCUACUACAAUUCUGAGUUUAGUCCUCAGCUUUUGUGUGUUCCCUGCACUUGUGUACUAUAAAUAGCCAGGAAAAACACCUUUACCCGGCUCAUCCGUUGAACUAUAUGAUAAUGCUAGAUGAUGUGUCCAUGCCUUACUAACGUCUUCUACAUGCCAUGCGAGUUAAAAAUCCUGCAAUCAUGUUUCGUGGUAGCAGUUUACCUUUGCACAAUGAAACUCCUCACUAAACCACAGUUCAAUUUGAGGGACUACUGCGUUGUUUUUACAGGGAUCUAAUGCCAUCAAUCAAAUUGUAAAAUACAGACAGGUACGCGUGGAAUGGACACUUGUGUUCAUUCAGAUUUUUGUGAUAUUUCAUACCUAAUGAUUACCAGGUUGUCACGCCCCUACAUGCAAAAUUGGUCUACGAGAUGGGAUAUAAGCUCAAAAGGACGUGAGAGCUGUAUUAUCAUGUAGCUCAUGACCUGGCAGAAGUGAAUAGUUGCACGAAAUACAACAUUGCAAACAAGGUUUUUAUUCAUUUUCUCUGCUGAUGGCACAUGGUAGCAGAAGCAGUGCCACCAAUUGGUGAAAGAUUUUCAGUAAACUGAGUGUUUGACAGAACAAUAUGAUGCCACCAAAGCAAUCUGCAUGAGUUCUCUACCUCCGGAAGUCCAGAUGGUUGCUCUGUUUCAUUCCUCACCAUGGUCAUGGCAGGGCAUGAUGGCACCCCCCCCCUCCCUAGGCGGGGCGCGGAGGCUGCAGGUUCAACUCAGAGUUUAGACCUUAACUUGUUUGUGAGCAAUGCAGAAUGCUACAAAUGUAAUACAGUGGGCAUGCAUGAUGCUGAAACAAACUAGUGCAACUUUUAGUGGAACAAUUGAUGAAUUAUGAUGUGUUGUCCAAGUAAAGGAUCGGUGGUGUUGUUUUGCUGAUCUUUUAGCGAAAAUCUAGUGAUAGUGUGUGGAUAUAUAUCCUAAGUUCCUAAUAACUCAUAGAUGAACAAUGAAUGCUAUAUUGAAUUGAAGCCAUGUUUGUUCUAUUCAAAAUGCAGGGAGCAUGCUCGAGCGGGCUUGGGGGGUCAUGGAGGGUCUGCUAAUGCUGGCACAAAGCCAGACUGGUUCCUUGAAGGGUGAGUAAUUAAUAUCUUUGAUUCAUCUAAGCAGUGCAAAAGUGAUGUGCUUAAUGCCUUGGACAAUGAAGCACCAGCUACUUCUAUGUUUUUUCCACCAAGAUUAGCUCAUGAUUUUGUCACUUUUUCCCACAACCUGCAAGUUUUGAAGCACUUUACUUUUGCCAUGUUAGCCAAAAUUUGGAGACAAGUACAAAGAGUAAGGAUAACCAACUCAUUUCUAGUAUUGGAGCAUCAAAAUCUAGUUCUGGAGCAUCAAAAAGGUAAUACACAGAUCUUAAAAAAUUGGUCAUACUGCUAUUGCUAUUUUGUUGCUACUGUUAUUUUGUUGUCUUUUGUUCAAAUCUAGUUCUAGCAUACACAUGUCAAUAUCAGAUUCAAAUGAACCUCCGCCUACUGCUGCUCCAGUCAAGGCAAAGAGCAAAAGGAAAAAGGAGCCUACUAAAAUGAAAACCACCAUUUCUAUACUGCCACUUGACAGCCCUACAAUGGGCCAAAAAACAAAAGGGUGGAUCCUGCUAGCCCUGCAAUGAGCACAAGGAGCAAAAGAAGGCUCAGCCUGUGAUCCUUAUGAAUCUAUAAAUUUGGACUCCGCCAUGAAUCUUUUUAUAUAUCAACCUUUGUGUGUGAACUUGCAUGUGAAUUUGAACUCCUAUGUGAACUUGCAUGUAUUUGUGGUGCCGUUCUGUGAGCUGUUGCGAUAAAAGGAGCUAAGCCUCAGAGCGUUUCCUAGGAUCUGAAUGAAUUUUUCCUUCUUUUUUCUGCUGUCCAGAUCUACUUCUGAGGGAGUUGGAUAUAUUCUAAGGUGCUUGCCAAGUGUUCAAGAGAGGAUUCUGCUUGUUUUUCGUGCGUGUAUAAUGGAGCAACAAGUGGAGGAGGCGAACGGAGCAGCCGUGGAGACCUGCCACAGGGUGCUUGCUUUGCAGAAAAAAAUCAGAAAAAAAAGGCAGGCAGUCGCGUGCAUGCUCCCAGCAAGGAAAAUGAGGCAGAAAAAAAACAAAAAAAUGGCAGCUGCAUGCGCUGCAUGCAAAAAAAUAGCAGCUGCAUGCGCCCGCGCGAUCUGCAUGCGCCGGCCAGUCUGCAUGCGUCAGGAGAAGAAGACCCACCUGCACACACCCUCCUUCCCACCCGGCCAGGCCCAGACGCAGGAGACAAGAGAUUAAAGAGGAUAGAUCGAAUCAAUAGCCAACUCCUCUCGUCGUCCUCCCCUCCAAAUCGAGGUAUACCCCAAACCCUAGCCAUCCCCAAUCCGGCCGCCGCGUCUACCGAUCCGUUAGAUUCAUGGCCGCCGCCGCUGCCGGCGACUCCGCUGUACCCAACUGGGUGAUGCUGGAGCGCUUGGCCUUCCGGAGGGACGACCCCGCCUCCUUCCGCGAGGACAGGAGGACCUUCGCUUCCGGCACCACCUCCACCGGCACUCAAUUCGACGUCUCCUUCAUCCUCGCCGAGCCUCCCACCCCCUCGCGCCUCUACCUCUCGUGGCCGGAAGGGCCCAAGCAGGGGAGCCGGUGCCUGGUCAUGGCGGCCAACCGCAACCUCGUCCUCCUCAGGCUCGUCUCCCUCGUCGACGAAUCCGAGCCUUUCGGGGAGGUAGUGCAUGAUUACUUCAUCUACAUAGCUGAUCCCUCCUCACAGCGGACACCCCUGCUCAGACGGCUGCCCCCCUGCACCAAGUACAACAAUUAUUUUGAGAGGCAAGUUACUCGCGUUUUGCCGGCGCUGGCUGUUGGUCUGUUGUGCCAUGGCGAAGACGAGUUUGCCGUGGCGCAUCUGGACAUCAGGUCUCGCAAAAAAAAAUCAGGGUCUCGCAAAAAAAAAUCAGGUAUCCAAGCUGAGCUAUGCGUGCUACGCUCGUCAUUGUCCUGCAUUGAUGAUGCCAAAUGGGAGACCAAGAUCCUUCCGAUACAGUACCAAUACGAUGAUUUAUCCUAUGAUUUUCUGUACUGGGCAGUGGAUGGUGUAGUUCCCUUCAAGAAUGCCUUGUGCUUUGUUAACUACUGUAGAGGCAUCCUUUUCUGCGACGGUGUCUUUGAAGACAGCCCUAAGGUCUCCUACAUCCGCUUGCCUCUGGAUACUUAUAUCCGAGGGGCUGAUGGCGAAGCACGCAAGGGGAUGUACCAUGGCUUGUGUGUCACUGAAGGUGGCCAUCGGUUGAUAUUUGUUGAUGUUGCCCGUCAUGAUGGAAAAUGGUAUGGCCGGAGCAUGCCCAACACUGGUUUCAGCCUCACCUACCGGACAUUGAAGAUGUCAGGGAAUUGCACCACGUCGUGGGAGUGGAAUGAGGAUGCUGUUGUCACUUCAGAUGAACUAUGGCAUGCAAACACCAUGGAGAGUCUCCCUCAUGACAUUGUGAUGCUCCCAUUGCUGAGUAUGGAUAAGGCCAAUGUUGCGCACCUUUCAUUGCUUGACUGGGAUGGUGGAUUCUCAUUAGUUUCCAUCGACUUGAGUAACAUGCAAGUGAUGGGCCCAGUCAUUACAUACCUCAAAGGGAAGGAUGAUACUGCUGAUGCUGACAUCGU
This 5984-nucleotide long non-coding RNA is filed under the name Setaria italica (foxtail millet). RNAcentral describes it as "long non-coding RNA (SITA_LNC004233)". The record is from RNAcentral. Lineage: Eukaryota; Viridiplantae; Streptophyta; Magnoliopsida; Poales; Poaceae.